ACGACUGGCUGCUGCCUUCGCCUCUGCUGACUUUGCGAGGAGUGAGGGCCUCCGAUGCGGGAGUGUACGCCUGCAAGGCCGAGCAUCCCUCCGUGCCGCACAGACGGUCGCACAACGUCAGCGUCGUCGUUUUGCCUGAGGAUGCUCGUUGGUACGAGUCCAACACCAACUAUGUCAUACAGAUGAUCUCACUGGCAGCGCUGGUCGUUGUCUCGGCUCCCAUUCUCAUCUUCAUCCAACAUUACUACCGCAGGUAUAAGAAGGCCAAGGUCAACAAAGGACCCAUUGAUGACCACUCGCAGAUCUCGCCCAUGUAUGAAAUGGCUUGUCUGCAGCAAAACAGUGAGGAAAAUUCCCUUCUGAACCAAAACGUGUGACGACGCUGCGACUGGAAUGGAAAUGGAUUGGCAAAAGAUGGAGUGUGUGGCCAGAGAGUGAGGGAUGGUGUACUCGGGUACAGAUGAUGAGCAGCUGAGAGAGCGAGGCUAAAAGGGAGAGCAGAAAUACUCCAAAGAAAAGAAAAGCAAAGCUCUGCAGAUGCUUACUGGCGCGCUCACGCACUUUAGACUAUUUUAGUUUUUAUGCUGCAAUGCUCACUCGAAACCGCUUGGGCUGAUUAUCUUGUGUGUGCACUUUGAGAAGGCUUAUAUUUAUUUGCUGAGCCAGCAUUACUGGCCUAGUGGUUGGAGUGUCCGCCCUGGUAGGUUGUGAGUUCAAACCCCGGCCGAGUCAUACCAAAGACUAUAAAAAAAAUGGGACCCAUUACCUCCCUGAUUGGCACUUAGCAUCAAGGGUUGGAAUUGGGGGUUAAAGCAUCAAAAAUGAUUACCAGGCGUGGCCACCGCUGCUGCUCACUGCUCCCCAGGGGGUGAACAAGGGGAUGGGUCAAAUGCAGAGGACACAUUUCACCACAUCUAGUGUGUGUGUGACAAUCAUUGGUACUUUAACUUUAACUACCGGGUAAUUAACUUCAUAAGCUGUUGACUCCAAGUUGUCUUCAUGCAGUAUCAGCUUGAGGCAAUUUUGAAGGCAUCAACCGUAUGGUUAACCCCUACUUUGAGUUGGACUCCUUAUAUUGUACAUUACAUUAUAUUCUGUAUAUUGGUUGAAAAUAGCAGACUUUUGCGUCAUUGCGUCUUCUUUGCCUGUACUAAAGAAGCGCUGAUAUUUUAUUUAUUUAAAAACAUUUUUACACACUGAAACUCUGUAAAGUGGAUCGACCAUGGGACCCCUUAAGUACAACACAAUCUGAAAUCAAGAUAUUAUUAUCAGUGAUUUAUUUGACCAUCAUUAUUAUUAAAUCAACUUUUAAUGUUCGUUAAUCGUUGUGUUGAAGAAAACACUAUGACCAAUCUAAACGUUGCAAAAACAAUCAUUCAAGCAAUGUCAAUCUAAAGCAGGGGUCCCUGAACUUUGUGACUCCGGGGCCGCAUUGGGGUAAAACAAUUUGGCUGGGGACCACGCUAUAUAUAUAUGUAUAUAUAUAU
This is a long non-coding RNA of Entelurus aequoreus (snake pipefish), 1487 nucleotides long. RefSeq lists it as uncharacterized. NCBI's taxonomy places the organism in Eukaryota, Metazoa, Chordata, Actinopteri, Syngnathiformes, Syngnathidae. The record is from RefSeq and is a predicted model, not a curated record. The transcript is spliced from 3 exons.